Long non-coding RNA from Thalassophryne amazonica, 277 nucleotides. RefSeq lists it as uncharacterized. NCBI's taxonomy places the organism in Eukaryota, Metazoa, Chordata, Actinopteri, Batrachoidiformes, Batrachoididae. The record is from RefSeq and is a predicted model, not a curated record. The transcript has 3 exons.
GAAAAUAUUCUUGAUCUAGCACCUUCCUACUUAGGUGACCUAAUUAAACCCUACGUACCGGCCCAGGCUCUGUGUUCUCAGGGCGCAGGGCUACUUUGUGUCCCAAGGGUGAAUAAAAAGUCUGCGGGUCACAGACCUUUCUCUUAUCGUGCACCUGUUUGUGGAAUGAUCUCCCUGCAUCAAAAAAAUAGUCAGAUUCUGUAGAGACUUUCAAGUCCAUACUUAAGACACGCUUAUUUUUCCUUUCGUGUGGCUAGCAUACUGGCAUAGUAUAGUA